Molecule: ribosomal RNA, 595 nt
Filed under: uncultured bacterium
Lineage: Bacteria
Description: bacterial SSU rRNA
Rfam family: Bacterial small subunit ribosomal RNA
Source: RNAcentral
CCUACGGGAGGCAGCAGUGGGGAAUAUUGGACAAUGGGCGAAAGCCUGAUCCAGCAAUGCCGCGUGAGUGAUGAAGGCCUUAGGGUUGUAAAGCUCUUUUACCAGGGAUGAUAAUGACAGUACCUGGAGAAUAAGCUCCGGCUAACUCCGUGCCAGCAGCCGCGGUAAUACGGAGGGAGCUAGCGUUGUUCGGAAUUACUGGGCGUAAAGCGUACGUAGGCGGUUAUUCAAGUCAGAGGUGAAAGCCUGGAGCUCAACUCCAGAACUGCCUUUGAAACUAGAUAGCUAGAAUCUUGGAGAGGUGAGUGGAAUUCCGAGUGUAGAGGUGAAAUUCGUAGAUAUUCGGAAGAACACCAGUGGCGAAGGCGACUCACUGGACAAGUAUUGACGCUGAGGUACGAAAGCGUGGGGAGCAAACAGGAUUAGAUACCCUGGUAGUCCACGCCGUAAACGAUGAUAACUAGCUGUUCGGGCUCUACGAGCUUGAGUGGCGCAGCUAACGCAUUAAGUUAUCCGCCUGGGGAGUACGGUCGCAAGAUUAAAAACUCAAAAGAUAGUACGCGNGAGAGAGCGACGACGACGACGAGGAGGAGAG